This 497-nucleotide ribosomal RNA is filed under the name uncultured bacterium. Its description in RNAcentral is "partial 16S ribosomal RNA". It matches the Rfam family "Bacterial small subunit ribosomal RNA", at positions 28 to 507 of the family's 1533-position model. The record is from RNAcentral.
GAUGAACGCUGGCGGCGUGCCUAAUACAUGCAAGUCGAGCGAACGGACGCGGAUCUCGCUUCUCUGAUGUUAGCGGCGGACGGGUGAGUAACACGUGGAUAACCUACCUAUACGACUUGGGUAAGUGCGGGAAAGCCGAGCUAAUACCGGGUGAUAUUUUUAACCGGAUGGUUCAAAAGUGUAUGACGGUCUUGAUGUCACCUAUAGAUAGAACCGCGCUGGAGUAGUUAGGUGGUAAGGUAACGGCUGACCAAGGCCACGAUGCAUAGCCGACGGGGGAGGGUGUACCGCCCCACUGGGACUGGGACGCGGCACUGACUCCUAGGGGAGGCAGCGGUAGGGAAUCGUGCGCAAUGGGCGAAAGCUUGACGGAGCAGCGCCGCCUGAGUGCUGAGGGUCUUCGGAUCGUAAAACUCUCUUAUUAGGGAAGAACAUAUGUGUAAGUAACUGUGCACAUCUUGACGGUACCUAAUCAGAAAGCCCCGGCUAACUACGUG